UCGAAAAUAGUUUAAUUGGUAAAAUAAAGGUCUCCAAAAUCUUAGUUGUAAGUUCAAGUCUUAUUUUUCUCG
RNAcentral lists this transfer RNA (72 nucleotides) under Cavenderia fasciculata. RNAcentral's name for it is "tRNA-Trp". It matches the Rfam family "tRNA". Rfam says of the family: Transfer RNA (tRNA) molecules are approximately 80 nucleotides in length. Lineage: Eukaryota; Evosea; Eumycetozoa; Acytosteliales; Cavenderiaceae. The record is from RNAcentral.